AGAGUGGAAUGAAGCCAAGGAUGAUUUGCCGAGAGCAAAAUUCAUUUGAUGUGAUCCAAACUUUUGAGUUACUCGGCAAGUUAUCUUUGGCUGCAUUUUCCUUUCU
This 106-nucleotide microRNA precursor is filed under the name Phaseolus vulgaris (common bean). The record is from RNAcentral. Lineage: Eukaryota; Viridiplantae; Streptophyta; Magnoliopsida; Fabales; Fabaceae.